Molecule: ribosomal RNA, 253 nt
Filed under: uncultured bacterium
Lineage: Bacteria
Description: partial 16S ribosomal RNA
Rfam family: Bacterial small subunit ribosomal RNA
Source: RNAcentral
GACAGAGGUGCCAAGCGUUAGGCGGAAUCACUGGGCUUAAAGCGUGUGUAGGCGGAAUGGUAAGUACCUUGUGAAAUCCCACGGCUCAACCGUGGAACUGCUUGGUAUACUGCUUUUCUUGAGCCACUUAGGGGCUGUCGGAACAAACGGUGGAGCGGUGAAAUGCGUAGAUAUCGGGAGGAACACCAGCGGUGUAGACGGCUUACUGGACCACGACUGACGCUGAGGCACGAAAGCGUGGGGAGCAAACAGG